RNAcentral lists this ribosomal RNA (433 nucleotides) under uncultured bacterium. RNAcentral describes it as "partial 16S ribosomal RNA". It matches the Rfam family "Bacterial small subunit ribosomal RNA", at positions 29 to 507 of the family's 1533-position model. The record is from RNAcentral.
AACGAACGCUGGCGGCAUGCCUAACACAUGCAAGUCGAACGAGACCUUCGGGUCUAGUGGCGCACUGGUGCGUAACGCGUGGGAACCUGCCUUUAGGUUCGGAAGAUCUUCCCGGAAGGGGUGCUAAUACCGGCUAAUGUCUUCGAUCCAAAGAUUUAUCGCCUUUGGAUGGGCCCGCGUUGUAUUAGUUAGUUGUUAGGGUAAAUGCCUACCACGGCGACGAUCCAUAGCUGGUCUGAGAGGAUGAGCAGCGACACUGGGAGUGAGACACGGCCCAGACUCCUACGGGAGGCAGCAGUGGGGAAUAUUGGACAAUGGGCGAAAGCCUGAUCCAGCAAGGACGGGUGAGUGAUGAAGGCCUUAGGGUUGUAAAGCUAGUUUACACGGGAUGAUAAUGACAGUACCGGGAGAAUAAGCUCCGGCUAACUUCGUG